CUCGUGCAGCAUCAGGCCCGCGCCCCGUAAAACGGGACGGCCCGCCAGAGGACCCAAACUCUAAUGUUUCUUAUUGUAACUUCUGAGUAAAACAAACAAAUAAAUCAAAACUUUCAACAACGGAUCUCUUGGUUCUGGCAUCGAUGAAGAACGCAGCAAAAUGCGAUAAGUAAUGUGAAUUGCAGAAUUCAGUGAAUCAUCGAAUCUUUGAACGCACAUUGCGCCCGCUGGUAUUCCGGCGGGCAUGCCUGUUCGAGCGUCAUUUCAACCCUCAAGCCCCCGGGUUUGGUGUUGGGGAUCGGCUCUGCCUCACGGCGGUGCCGCCCCCGAAAUACAUUGGCGGUCUCGCUGCAGCCUCCAUUGCGUAGUAGCUAACACCUCGCAACUGGAACGCGGCGGGGCAUGCGGUAAACCCCAACUUCUGAAUGUUGACCUCGGAUCAGGUAGGAAUACCCGCUGAACUUAAGCAUA
This 471-nucleotide ribosomal RNA is filed under the name Fusarium tricinctum. RNAcentral's name for it is "eukaryotic LSU rRNA". The stretch from base 109 to 262 matches the Rfam family "5.8S ribosomal RNA". Lineage: Eukaryota; Fungi; Ascomycota; Sordariomycetes; Hypocreales; Nectriaceae. The record is from RNAcentral.